This 508-nucleotide ribosomal RNA is filed under the name uncultured bacterium. Its description in RNAcentral is "partial 16S ribosomal RNA". It matches the Rfam family "Bacterial small subunit ribosomal RNA", at positions 28 to 507 of the family's 1533-position model. The record is from RNAcentral.
GACGAACGCUGGCGGCGUGCUUAACACAUGCAAGUCGAACGGGCCUUGUCCCCUUUUUUUUUGGGGGUGGGGUUAGUGGCGAACGGGUGAGUAACACGUGAGUAACCUGCCCCUCACUUCUGGAUAACCGCUUGAAAGGGUGGCUAAUACGGGGUGUUCUGGCCUGCUCGCAUGGGUGGGUUUGGAAAGAUUCGACCGGUUUUGGUUGUUUUGGUGGGGGAUGGGCUCGCGGCCUAUCAGCUUGUUGGUGGGGGGAUGGCCUGCCAAGGCUUUGACGGGUAGCCGGCCUGAGAGGGUGGGCGGUCACACUGGGACUGAGACACGGCCCAGACUCCUACGGGAGGCAGCAGUGGGGAAUAUUGCACAAUGGGCGCAAGCCUGAUGCAGCGACGCCGCGUGAGGGAUGGAGGCCUUCGGGUUGUGAACCUCUUUCGCCAGUGAAGAAGGUCCUGCUCUUUGUGGUGGGGUUGACGGUAGCUGGGUUAAUGAAGCGCCGGCUAACUACGUG